AUUCAGAUGAUCUUGCACGUGGAUUUUUAGUGUUUAUUCUGUUAAGAUGAUGUGUAUUGCAGCACGUCUUAAGGUGGUUUUAGAAUGAUUGGAAAUCAAACGGAGAAAAGAAAUACAUAAUGUUACCUUCCAUGUACAUCGAGACUGUUGGAAAAUUAUCUGAACGUGAUAUAAGGAGCGUAUAAAUGUUUAUAAAUACAGAAUAGUAUAUUCAACACUAACUUGAAUCUACAUGGGCAUAUCUCGAGGGGCAUAGGACUAGUUGACACUAUAAUGAGUUUAUUUAUAGACUAUAUAUGAUCAUAUAUAUACAACUUUGUUGACAAAUUUAAAUUUACGCCAAUAUUUGUUGUAGAUUUUAGAGUUUAAACGACAUUAUAGGAUUUUGAGUGUAAUCAUAUGGAUAUGUGAUCAUAUGUUAUCAUAAAAAUGUAAUUUUGUCUGAUAGUUCGAGACAUUCACUGUUUGAAGAUACCAAGGAUUUGUAUACUAAAAAUACAAACCCUGGUAUAGACUCGGUAUUUACUUACUUAAAUCAUUUGGGUCAUUUCCCAUACGAAUACGAAUACUUUAUUUCUCAUAAAACUACAAUUACAUAGUUAUAGAGGAGGGGCUGGACAGGGGGUCAGUUUCUCCCUGCUCCCGCCCCUCUUCUCCCUUCUCUCUCUCCAUUACCUUUUUCGACAUACAUUUCAUUAAAAUCCACUAAAGGGGCA
Molecule: long non-coding RNA, 716 nt
Filed under: Mytilus galloprovincialis (Mediterranean mussel)
Lineage: Eukaryota; Metazoa; Mollusca; Bivalvia; Mytilida; Mytilidae
Source: RNAcentral